CCAGACCUCUCUCUCCUUGGGGACCCCUGGACUUCUUAUCAACCUACCUAGGAAAUGACGCUCUCAGUGCCAAGAGAGAAGUGGACCCGUUGCUCUGUAUGCAGACUCACGUCAGCCACAGACACUGAGAACAUUGCCAUAGUCAGGCUGUAAAGACUGACCCUUUCUUCGUGUCCCAACUGAAUUCCAAGGAGAAAUAUGAGUGGGCAAGUGGCAUCAACAUUGGGCCCUACAGGUCAAGAUUCCUCCCAGCUGGAUGAACCUGUGGUUGACCAGCAGCCCAGUGUUGAGCAACCUGAACAAGAGGAAGCACCAGCUGAGAUUCAGGAUAUCACACCUGGAAAGGAGGAAGUCAGUGGAGAGGAUCCAGUGAAUCAUGAUGAAGAGAAGGAGAAGGAUGCCCCUGGAGUGUAUGCUUUACAGCUGAAUUGAUUCAUUUUUUAAAAAAUUCUGACCUGGAAACUGAUCUCCGGGAAUCGGCUGUGGCAAAGACUGGGGGUCAAGGCAGAGAUGGUCCCGAUGUCAAGGAGGAGAUUGCAUCAAAUACAGAGCCUGUUGAAAUGCCAGAAGCAGGUGAAGGGGAACCAGUUGCUUGAAAGAAGAUAAACUGAAACUAUCUAUGCUGUUCUUAUGCUGUAUAUUUGACUGUUAAAGCUGUCAGUAAAAAGUUUC
Molecule: long non-coding RNA, 672 nt
Organism: Dama dama (fallow deer)
Lineage: Eukaryota; Metazoa; Chordata; Mammalia; Artiodactyla; Cervidae
Exons: 5
Source: RefSeq, a predicted model, not a curated record